CCCUUAGAUGUUCUGGGCCGCACGCGCGCUACACUGAUGCAUUCAACGAGUCUAAAACCUGGUCUGAUAGGGCUGGGUAAUCUUUUGAAAGUGCAUCGUGAUUGGGAUAGAUGAUUGCAAUUCUUCAUCUUCAACGAGGAAUGCCUAGUAAACGCAAGUCAUCAGCUUGCAUUGAUUACGUCCCUGCCCUUUGUACACACCGCCCGUCGCUCCUACCGAUUGAAUGAUCCGGUGAACCUCUUGGACUGGACUCGUAAGGGUUCGGGAAGUUAAGUAAACCUAAUCACUUAGAGGAAGGAGAAGUCGUAACA
RNAcentral lists this ribosomal RNA (311 nucleotides) under uncultured eukaryote. Its description in RNAcentral is "partial 18S ribosomal RNA". It matches the Rfam family "Eukaryotic small subunit ribosomal RNA", at positions 1470 to 1796 of the family's 1831-position model. The record is from RNAcentral.